CACGUAGGAGGCGAGCGUUGUCCGGAAUCAUUGGGCGUAAAGAGCGCGCAGGCGGCUUGGCAAGUCGGGUGUGAAAUCCCGGGGCUCAACCCCGGGACUGCAUUCGAUACUGUCAGGCUAGAGGUAGGUAGGGGAGAUCGGAAUUCCUGGUGUAGCGGUGAAAUGCGCAGAUAUCAGGAGGAACACCGGUGGCGAAGGCAGGUCUCUGGGCCACUACUGACGCUGAGAAGCGAAAGCAUGGGGAGCGAACAGG
Molecule: ribosomal RNA, 253 nt
Filed under: uncultured bacterium
Lineage: Bacteria
Description: partial 16S ribosomal RNA
Rfam family: Bacterial small subunit ribosomal RNA
Source: RNAcentral